This 2603-nucleotide ribosomal RNA is filed under the name Triticum aestivum (bread wheat). RNAcentral's name for it is "partial small subunit ribosomal RNA". The record is from RNAcentral. Lineage: Eukaryota; Viridiplantae; Streptophyta; Magnoliopsida; Poales; Poaceae.
CUCGUGCAAACUUCCAUUCCCCUACCUAACGGUUACCAAACAAGCUAUUACAGAAAAAGAAUGCUUUGCAAUUACAUAAGUUUAAGAGGGCAUGGAUGCAAUAUCGCCAAUAAAAAUGAAGACUAAUCACUACUCUGCCGGAGGCAGCGGCAGAGAUAAGCUUUGUUGUUUCGCCCUGUCUCUGGCUUCAGUAAUUGACUAGAGGUGGCUGUUGCACUAGUCUCCAAAUAACCAGGAGUCAACCCACCGUUCAUCGAACGUUCAGAGUUUUCUUUGAAGGGGAACAGCCCUCGGAGCUCCCCAAGCCGCAUUCAUGGGUUCGUCGCUGGGGGGAGAGGAGGAGGAACGGAUCCUGCUAGCGCGCGCGACGCCGCCGGAGAACUUUGAUGAAUACACAGGCGAUGGCUCAGUUGAUUUCAGAGGCCACCCUAUUUUAAAGCAUAAUACAGGCAACUGGAGAGCAUGCUCAUUGAUUCUUGGAACUGAAGUGUGCGAACGCUUAGCCUACUAUGGGAUCUCCAAAAGUUUGGUCACUUAUCUUUCAACUAGACUGCAUGAAGGCAAUGUGUCUGCAGCUAGAAACUUCACAACCUGGCAAGGAACUUGUUAUCUCACACCACUUAUUGGAGCAACCUUAGCAGAUUCUUACUGGGGAAAGUAUCGGACUAUUGCUGUUUUCUCAACUAUUUACUUUCUUGGGAUGUCAGCAUUGACGCUUUCAGCAUUGGUUCCUUAUCUCCAGCCCCCUCAAUGUAUUGGGUCUUUUUGUCCAAAACCAGCCUUACACCAGUAUUUGAUAUACUUCGUUGGACUAUACAUGAUUGCUUUAGGGGCUGGAGGUAUCAAGCCAUGUGUUUCGUCCUUCGGUGCAGACCAAUUUGAUGAUACCGAUUCAGUUGAGCGAACAAAGAAAGGCGCUUUCUUCAAUUGGUUUUAUUUCUCCAUAAAUAUCGGUUCAUUGAUCUCUGGCACUGUUCUUAUUUGGGUACAAGAAAAAUAUGGAUAUGGUAUUGGAUUUGCAAUCCCUACCUUUUUCAUUGCCCUAGCUAUCGGAAGCUUUUUUCUAGGCUCAGAGGUAUACAGAUUUCAGAUACCUGGAGGAAGCCCUCUUACAAGAGCAUGCCAGGUAGUUGUUGCAGCCAUUUACAAGCGAAAUGUGGACUUGCCAGUUGAUAGUUCUCUUCUCUAUGAGUGUCAUGGUAAGAGAUCAGCUAUCGAGGGGAGCCGCAAGCUGGAGCACAGCAGUGAAUUCAGGUACUUUUCUUGGUUAUCAUCAGGAAUCAUUUGCUGUGUAAGAUGCUAUUACCUUACCAAAUUAAUUAGUGGCAAAAACUGUUCAGAUGGUGGAGUUCAGAAUGCUGUUCUGCAAGAAAUAAAAACAUAUUUGUUGAAGUUUAAGAAUUAAAUAAAAUAGUUUACAAUUUAACAAAAAAGUAUGCUACUAUAUUGAUCUAACACUCACGUGCUUGCAAAGCUUGUGUCUUGGGACUUCCUGGACACAGCAACCCCUUUUCAGAACCAUGACAGGUAAACCUUACACGAGAUGUAAGUAGCAUAAGAUUCGCAUACCCACUGACCCGAUGCAUAUUUGCCCUCUACAGUUUCCUUGACAAAUCUGCAGUCAUUUUGCGGAGUGAAUGCGGCGAUAUUCAUAAUCCUUGGAGGCUUUGCACUGUCACACAGAUUGAAGAGCUCAAAAUAUUAAUGAGGAUGUUUCCAAUCUGGGCAACGGGCAUCGUGUUCUUCACUGUCUGCGCUCAGAAUUCAUCAAUGUUCAUAGAGCAAGGGAUGGCACUCAACAACCAAGUGGGAUCAUUCAAGAUCCCGCCAGCCACCCUGUCGUCCUUGGACGUAAUCAGCAUCGUCGUUUGGGUCCCUAUUUAUGAGAGAUUCAUCGUGCCGAUAGCCAGGAGAUUGACUGGUAAGGAGAGGGGCUUCUCGGAGCUCCAGCGCAUGGGGAUCGGUCUUUUUGUGUCCACCAUCGCAGUGGCAGUCGCAGCAUUGGUCGAGAUCAAGCGCCUGGAGAGCGCAAGAUCCGAGGGCCUGGUCCAUCAGAAGGUGCCUGUUUCCAUGAGCAUUCUCUGGCAAGCGCCUCAGUACCUGCUGAUCGGUGUCGGCGAGGUGUUCACGUCCAUCGGUCAGGCUGAGUUCUUCUACAACCAGUCUCCAGACUCCAUGAGAAGCCUGUGCUCGGCUUUUGCCCUUGUCACCGUGUCGCUCGGAAGCUAUCUUAGCUCGUUCAUACUGACCCUGGUGUCGUAUCUUACGACGAGGGGGGAGCAGAUGGGGUGGAUUCCUGACAACCUGAACGAAGGCCACCUUGACCGCUUCUUCUGGCUCAUUGCUGGCCUCAGCUCCCUGAAUUUUCUUGCUUUCCUUUAUUUUGCACAGCAGUACAAGUGCAAGAAAGCUUCUGUACUUUAAUGUUUUCUGCUUUGCCAUGUAUUGUACAGAAAGUUGCGUGCAUAUUUCCCUCAUGAACAGGCUAACAAUGUACAGUCUUCUGUAAUGUACGGUCUUGUAUCCUUUGAUAGUUGGAUACAUUCGUUACUUGGACAGUGGAAUAGUUUACUUUUCCCUCUUGUUAAUGAAGCUUAUAAAAC